GGANAAUGGCCUUCCUUCCUCACUGUCAAAGAACGAACUAACGCACUCAGUCUUCCGAGUGGGCAGUGAUCAAUAGCACUUUAACUUUUACUUCCUACAUCCCUAAAGCGUUAUUCAGCACUGCACACUACAUCCUAAAUCCCUUCUCUACCGCUUCCCCAGCGACCAGCCCGCGCUCUUUGCGGGCCUUCCAUCCCUGUGGUGGAGCUGACCGGUCUCGAACCGGUGACCCCCUGCUUGCAAAGCAGGUGCUCUCCCAACUGAGCUACAGCCCCAUUUGGUGGGCCCAAGUGGACUCGAACCACUGACCUCACGAUUAUCAGUCGUGUGCUCUAGCCAGCUGAGCUAUAGGCCCAAUUCCUUACCAGGGUGGCGUGA
RNAcentral lists this transfer RNA (378 nucleotides) under Acidithiobacillus ferrooxidans. RNAcentral describes it as "partial 16S ribosomal RNA". Lineage: Bacteria; Pseudomonadati; Pseudomonadota; Acidithiobacillia; Acidithiobacillales; Acidithiobacillaceae. The record is from RNAcentral.